UACGUAGGGGGCAAGCGUUGUCCGGAAUCAUUGGGCGUAAAGAGCGUGUAGGCGGCCAGAUAAGUCCGCUGUGAAAUCUCGAGGCUCAACUUCGAGCUGUCGGUGGAAACUGUCUGGCUAGAGUCCGGAAGAGGAGAAUGGAAUUCCUGGUGUAGCGGUGGAAUGCGCAGAUAUCAGGAGGAACACCAAUAGCGAAGGCAGCUCGCUGGGACGGUACUGACGCUCAGGCGCGAAAGCGUGGGGAGCAAACAGG
RNAcentral lists this ribosomal RNA (253 nucleotides) under uncultured bacterium. RNAcentral's name for it is "partial 16S ribosomal RNA". It matches the Rfam family "Bacterial small subunit ribosomal RNA", at positions 524 to 776 of the family's 1533-position model. The record is from RNAcentral.